Long non-coding RNA from Neopsephotus bourkii (Bourke's parrot), 867 nucleotides. RefSeq lists it as uncharacterized. The record is from RefSeq and is a predicted model, not a curated record. The transcript is spliced from 2 exons. NCBI's taxonomy places the organism in Eukaryota, Metazoa, Chordata, Aves, Psittaciformes, Psittacidae.
CAGCAACGUGUACAAGUGGGGGACCAGCUUUCCCCUAGUUCCCUUGUGUCCUCAAACUGCUGAAAUGUGGCUAACAAAGUCAUAAGCUAAUUGAGAGAGCAGGGUGUGAUGAGAGUCAAGCAGGCAGCUUGGGCCACCUGGGAAAGGACUGCCUACAGCUGAGAGUGUUUAAGUUGAAAAACUGUUAAAAGGAGGGGUCUCUCCUAGCAACUGCUUUUGGUAUUUCUGUUUAGGGACUCUGGCUUGGAAAGACUUAUUGGGGUGCUUUUGCUUGUCUGUUCUUGGCUUCAACAUCAACUCAGUGUUUUCAGAAACAAAGAGUAUGCAACCACUGAGAGCAUCCUCCACGUGAGUUAAGAAUGAGAUCUACAGAACUGCUGCCCUGGGACAGUGAGAGUGCCAACAUCACAGAACUGCUUGGACUUUAAUAGUACUGUUGAGGAAUGUGUACCUAUAGAGAUUGCAGCAAUGGUACCUACAUUCCUGCAGGCAAACAAAAUCUGUGUCUUCAUUAGAAGAGUCUGGCUGUAAUGAAAAAGCUGGUGGGGGGGAGGAGAGGAGAUGGUUUGCUUUAUGAGCUGGGAUGCCAGUUUUGCAAGGAUCUGAUGCCAGCUACCAUUCAGUUUGUUCUUGGAAGACAUUCAGUGAACUGCUGGUUGCUUGCAGGGAGACUGAAACACACUAGUGUGAGUUCUGAAAUCCAAAAUACUUCCCCUUUUUCUCUUCUACUUAGUGCUUCGGCAUGCAAAAUUGGACACUGGUGAACUGAGAUGAACUGGUUCAGUGGUUCCACUCGCCAUUCCCAUGAGAACGGCCAUAACCCUUAUCUAUGGCCUAGCAGAUUCUGCUUGUGAAAAGGCCCAAGAC